GAUGAACGCUGGCGGCGUGCCUAAUACAUGCAAGUCGAGCGAACGGACGAGAAGCUUGCUUCUCUGAUGUUAGCGGCGGACGGGUGAGUAACACGUGGAUAACCUACCUAUAAGACUGGGAUAACUUCGGGAAACCGGAUCUAAUACCGGAUGAUAUUUUGAACCGCAUGGUUCAAAAGUGAAAGACGGUCUUGCUGUCACUUAUAGAUGGAUCCGCGCUGCAUUAGCUAGUUGGUAAGGUAACGGCUUACCAAGGCAACGAUGCAUAGCCGACCUGAGAGGGUGAUCGGCCACACUGGAACUGAGACACGGUCCAGACUCCUACGGGAGGCAGCAGUAGGGAAUCUUCCGCAAUGGGCGAAAGCCUGACGGAGCAACGCCGCGUGAGUGAUGAAGGUCUUCGGAUCGUAAAACCCUGUUAUUAGGGAAGAACAUAUGUGUAAGUAACUGUGCACAUCUUGACGGUACCUAAUCAGAAAGCCACGGCUAACUACGUG
Molecule: ribosomal RNA, 497 nt
Filed under: uncultured bacterium
Lineage: Bacteria
Description: partial 16S ribosomal RNA
Rfam family: Bacterial small subunit ribosomal RNA
Source: RNAcentral